UCUCUGUGAUGAUGAAAACGAUGACGAGUCUGAUAAUCCAUUCUUUACAAUACUGACGACAAAUCGAGGCAUUUGUCUGAGAGGA
This is a non-coding RNA of Glycine max (soybean), 85 nucleotides long. NCBI's taxonomy places the organism in Eukaryota, Viridiplantae, Streptophyta, Magnoliopsida, Fabales, Fabaceae. The record is from Rfam.